AACGAACGCUGGCGGCAGGCUUAAUACAUGCGAGUCGAGCGGGCACUUCGGUGUCAGCGGCGCACGGGUGCGUAACGCGUGGGAACAUGCCUUUAGGUACGGAACAACCAAGGGAAACUUUGGCUAAUACCGUAUAAUAUCUCUGGAUCAAAGAUUUAUCGCCUAAAGAUUGGCCCGCGUUAGAUUAGGUAGUUGGUGGGGUAAUGGCCUACCAAGCCGACGAUCUAUAGGGGGUCUGAGAGGAUGAUCCCCCACACUGGAACUGAGACACGGUCCAGACUCCUACGGGAGGCAGCAGUAAGGAAUAUUGGACAAUGGGCGAAAGCCUGAUCCAGCCAUGCCGCGUGAGUGAUGAAGGCCUUAGGGUUGUAAAGCUCUUUUAGAUGGGAAGAUAAUGACUGUACCAUCAGAAUAAGCCCCGGCUAAAUUCGUG
This 433-nucleotide ribosomal RNA is filed under the name uncultured bacterium. RNAcentral describes it as "partial 16S ribosomal RNA". It matches the Rfam family "Bacterial small subunit ribosomal RNA", at positions 29 to 507 of the family's 1533-position model. The record is from RNAcentral.